Molecule: small nucleolar RNA, 107 nt
Organism: Mercurialis annua (annual mercury)
Lineage: Eukaryota; Viridiplantae; Streptophyta; Magnoliopsida; Malpighiales; Euphorbiaceae
Source: RefSeq, a predicted model, not a curated record
AGGUGAUGGUGAGAGACAUUUCUUUGUAGAUCCUUAAACCGCUCUCAAGCUUCAUUCAAAGAUUCACCAUCGUAUUGCAUGAAGUCGAUGAUUUCCUUGGUCAAUCU